GAUGAACGCUGGCGGCGUGCUUAAUACAUGCAAGUCGAACGGACAGACGCGGCGCUUGCUCCUCUGACGUUUGGCGCGGACGUGUGUAUAACGCGUGGAUCACCUACCUAUAAUUGUGAUAAAUCUUCGAAAAACCGGCGCUAACCCCAUAUGAGCUCUUGAACCAUGUUGUUCGAUGGAGAGAGACGGCUGUUGGGGAUGGACUCGCGGGUUCUCAGCUUGUUUGGCGGGUUGUGGCUUACCAAGCCUAUGAAGGGUAGCCUGCCUGAGAGGGUGAACGGCCACAUUGGGACUGAGAUACGGCCCAGACGCCUACGGGAGGCAGUAGUGGGGAAUAUUGCACAAUGGGCGGAAGCCUGAUGCAGCAACGCCGCGUGCGGGAUGACGGCCUUCGGGUUGUAAACCGCUUUCGCCUGUGACGAAGCGUGAGUGACGGUAAUGGGUAAAGAAGCACCGGCUAACUACGUG
RNAcentral lists this ribosomal RNA (468 nucleotides) under uncultured bacterium. RNAcentral describes it as "partial 16S ribosomal RNA". It matches the Rfam family "Bacterial small subunit ribosomal RNA", at positions 28 to 507 of the family's 1533-position model. The record is from RNAcentral.